GACGAACGCUGGCGGCGUGCCUAAUACAUGCAAGUCGAACGCAGUGGGGACGGGUGAGUAACACGUGGGUAACCUCCCAUCAGAGGGGAAAACACUGGGAAACAGGUGCUAAACCGAGACUGAUGGAUGGACCCGCGGUGGAUUAGCUAGUUGGUGAGGUAACGGCUCACCAAGGCCACGAUGCAUAGCCGGUCUGAGAGGGUGAUCGGCCACACUGGGACUGAGACACGGCCCAGACUCCUACGGGAGGCAGCAGUAGGGAAUCUUCGGCAAUGGACGCAAGUCUGACCGAGCAACGCCGCGUGAGUGAAGAAGGUUUUCGGGUCGUAAAGCUCUGUUGUUAGAGAAGCGGUAUCUAACCAGAAAGCCACGGCUAACUACGUGCCAGCAGCCGCGGUAAUUC
This 403-nucleotide ribosomal RNA is filed under the name uncultured bacterium. Its description in RNAcentral is "partial 16S ribosomal RNA". It matches the Rfam family "Bacterial small subunit ribosomal RNA", at positions 28 to 526 of the family's 1533-position model. The record is from RNAcentral.